CAGCCGCCACGGUAAUACGUAGGGCGCAAGCGUUGUCCGGAAUUAUUGGGCGUAAAGAGCUCGUAGGCGGUCUGUCGCGUCUGGUGUGAAAUCCCGAGGCUCAACCUCGGGCUUGCAUCGGGUACGGGCAGACUAGAGUGCGGUAGGGGAGACUGGAAUUCCUGGUGUAGCGGUGGAAUGCGCAGAUAUCAGGAGGAACACCGAUGGCGAAGGCAGGUCUCUGGGCCGCAACUGACGCUGAGGAGCGAAAGCAUGGGGAGCGAACAGGAUUAGAUACCCCUGUAGUCCCUGUCUCUUAUAC
This 301-nucleotide ribosomal RNA is filed under the name uncultured bacterium. RNAcentral describes it as "partial 16S ribosomal RNA". It matches the Rfam family "Bacterial small subunit ribosomal RNA", at positions 509 to 807 of the family's 1533-position model. The record is from RNAcentral.